Molecule: long non-coding RNA, 256 nt
Filed under: Prunus persica (peach)
Lineage: Eukaryota; Viridiplantae; Streptophyta; Magnoliopsida; Rosales; Rosaceae
Description: long non-coding RNA (PPER_LNC003571)
Source: RNAcentral
GUGAGGUUAGUUAAGUUUUUAAUGAUAAUGUUAGGCAUUUGAAAAUAUAAUAUAAUAAGUUUACUGAUAUGUAUAUUGUAUGUGUAAAUUGCAGGUUGAUGUGCAACUUCUCCGGCCAUCUGUAAGCAGCAGCCGUAUUGGACUUGGGGUGACAGUGUUGACGACACUGAAGAACUUGUUCAGUUGUUUGGCAAUGACGCUGAACAAAAAACCAGCACUUCUGCCUCUGUAGAAGAAAAAGAUAAGGACAUUGACG